Molecule: ribosomal RNA, 390 nt
Filed under: Dinophysis acuta
Lineage: Eukaryota; Dinophyceae; Dinophysales; Dinophysaceae
Description: bacterial LSU rRNA
Rfam family: Bacterial large subunit ribosomal RNA
Source: RNAcentral
GACCCUAUGAACCUUUACUGUAGCUUUGUAUUGGAUUUUGAACGGAUCUGUGUAGGAUAGGUGGGAGGCUUUGAAGUGAGGACGCUAGUUCUCAUGGAGCCGACGUUGAAAUACCACCCUGGUGCGUUUGAGGUUCUAACCCAGGUCCCUUAUCGGGAUCGGGGACAGUGCAUGGUAGGCAGUUUGACUGGGGCGGUCUCCUCCCAAAGCGUAACGGAGGAGUUCGAAGGUACGCUAGUUACGGUCGGACAUCGUGACGAUAGUGCAGUGGCAUAAGCGUGCUUAACUGCGAGACUGACAAGUCGAGCAGAUGCGAAAGCAGGACAUAGUGAUCCGGUGGUUCUGUAUGGAAGGGCCAUCGCUCAACGGAUAAAAGGUACUCUAGGGAUA